GGAGGGCUGGCUGAGCGGCCGAAAGCGACGGUCUUGAAAACCGUUGGUGCGGUGACCCCGUACUCAAGGGUUCGAAUCCCUUGCCCUCCGCCC
RNAcentral lists this transfer RNA (93 nucleotides) under Cellulomonas shaoxiangyii. RNAcentral's name for it is "Cellulomonas sp. Z28 tRNA-Ser". It matches the Rfam family "tRNA". Rfam says of the family: Transfer RNA (tRNA) molecules are approximately 80 nucleotides in length. Their secondary structure includes four short double-helical elements and three loops (D, anti-codon, and T loops). The record is from RNAcentral. Lineage: Bacteria; Bacillati; Actinomycetota; Actinomycetes; Micrococcales; Cellulomonadaceae.